AAAAUUGGCAUUUGUAAACGACAUGCGUAGCUGGUCCAACAAGCGGUGAACAUCAUCAAGCAUAUCCAUAUGCGCAUCGGCAGCCAUCCUGCGGAAAAAAGGAAAAUUCAGUGACAUAUUUUUCUUCUGCUAAUUAUUUCUCGCUUCGCAGAAUAUAUAGAAAAGAUACGAUUUCUGAAAUAGGAGCCUUAAAAAUCUAUGUUUACAGACAGAGGAUUUUCGCACAAUCGGUCAUCACCGUUUGGGUGUCGGUCGUCGUCUAACUCCGAAACAGUUAUUGAACACGGAAGCAGCUUAUUUACCCCCACGCAGGUA
Molecule: long non-coding RNA, 315 nt
Organism: Solenopsis invicta (red fire ant)
Lineage: Eukaryota; Metazoa; Arthropoda; Insecta; Hymenoptera; Formicidae
Exons: 3
Source: RefSeq, a predicted model, not a curated record